RNAcentral lists this ribosomal RNA (252 nucleotides) under uncultured bacterium. RNAcentral's name for it is "partial 16S ribosomal RNA". It matches the Rfam family "Bacterial small subunit ribosomal RNA", at positions 524 to 776 of the family's 1533-position model. The record is from RNAcentral.
UACGGAGGGUGCAAGCGUUAUCCGGAUUUACUGGGUUUAAAGGGAGCGCAGGCGGAUUAGUAAGUCAGUGGUGAAAGCCUUGAGCUUAACUCGAGAACUGCCAUUGAUACUAUUAGUCUUGAAUGUUGUUGAGGUUUGCGGAAUGGGUCAUGUAGCGGUGAAAUGCAUAGAUAUGACCCGGAACACCUAUUGCGAAGGCAGCAGGCUAAACAAAUAUUGACGCUGAGGCUCGAAAGCGUGGGAUCAAACAGG